Long non-coding RNA from Symphalangus syndactylus (siamang), 1994 nucleotides. RefSeq lists it as uncharacterized. The record is from RefSeq and is a predicted model, not a curated record. NCBI's taxonomy places the organism in Eukaryota, Metazoa, Chordata, Mammalia, Primates, Hylobatidae.
GUACAGAACAUAUUAAACCAUUGUACCAGAGCUAUAGUCUUACUUUACUUUUCAUCUUUCUUCAGCUACGUGUAUGUGUUUCUAAGCAUAACUUCUUGGAAAAAAAGGAAAUUCUUAGAAGCAAUUAGAGUAUCACACCCAUGCUAUACCCUUUGAUUCAUUAGCUUGCUCUAUUUUUCUGUUAUUUUGAAAUUACCCAAGCUGAAGCAGAAAAACUGCCAGGAAAAUGUCACAGCCACCCCUUACCGAACAGCAGAAACACCAGCAAAACACCAACUGCAACAUGGUGUAUUUUGAAGGAUGGGCGCCUCUGGAAUGAAGGCCUUAUUCAGGGCAGGAGGGUGGAAGACAGUGACAUUAAAGUUACCUACACCUACAGAAAUAAUUGGAGCACAUGUCUAUUUGGGCCAAGAGGAUAAAGGCCAGUAGAGGAAUCAGAUCAAAGAACCUCCUCGGGAAGUGUGCAGAGAACUGGAGUGGACCUUCCCCUAGGAAGCUGCCCAAAAGGAGAGUGCUGGAAAGCUGGCUGCAGUGAGGCGCUUCAGAUCCCAAGGGUAUGCUGGGGAAGCUGCCACAGGUGGGAGCACUUGCUGCUGGCCCCUAGGCACUGUUGAAACAACUGGACCCUCUGCAGGAGCCCAACAAGCCAAAGCCAGGCAUCCCAUCUGGAGAGAGAGAAGACUGAAGCAGAAACACAAUGGGAAGGAAGCAAAGAUGGAGAGACGAGUUUUCGGAUUCAACUGAAGCCCUUGCUAUCUGGUAGAGUCAGAGUCAUCACAAUUGGGGACUCUUCAUUAAGCUACACUUUUUAAUGGAACAUCCUAGUGAGGUUUGAGAGUACAGCCUGAUGGUCUAUAUCACAUUGCUAAGCCGAUUUUAUUGGACAGAACUUGUUUGCAUCCGUACUAGACAAAAACCUGCAAGUUAACCUUUGCCUGUAUGGAGUUGUAAAACCGACCAGUUGAUAGAAAGACAAGCCCGGUAAGUACUGCACUGAAAGAAUAUCCAGAUAUUUAUUUUGCCUAUUUCUAAGUUCUGAAUAAUGUUUCUUAUACCCAUACUCUUAAUACUCUUAAUGUAGGAGUGUAUCCAUAGUCCUCCCUCUACACUCUCUCCCUUAGUGAUCGCGCUCAGUCUUGUGGUUAUAAGUAACAUCAAUAUUCUCAUGAUUCCCAUAUUUAUAUCUGUAGUUUGGAUCUUUUUCUUGAACUGCAGACCCUUAUGUUCAACUGCCUGUGGCAUGAUGCACUUAGAUACCUACUGAGUAGUUUAAAUUAAACAUGUCUAAAACUAAAUUCUGUGUUAUGUUUUCCACAAAAAGCCUACUCCACUCACAUCCCCCAGUAAUACCUACUCUAUCCUUCCAGAUGAUCACAAGUUAUCAGUACCUUAUUUUGCCACACUCCAUAGGCGAUCCUACAGGAAGCACUAGUCCACCUUUGAUAUGGUUUGGACGUUUGUCCCCUUCAAAUCUCAUGUUGAAAUGUGAUUUGCAAUGUUGAAGGUGGGGCCUCAUGGGAGGUGAUUGGAUCAUGGGGGCAGAUCCAUCAUGCAUGGUUUAGCACCACCCCGUUGGUGACAUGUGAGCUCUUGCUCAGUUAGUUCAUGGAGAUCUGGUUGUUUAAGAGUCUGAGACCUCCUUCUUCUCUCUCUCUUGCUCCCCAUUCUCGCCAUGUGAUGGGCUGUCUUCCUGUCGCCUUACAUCGUGACUGUAAGCUUCCCGAAGCCCUCAGCAGAAGCCGAGCAGAUGUUGGCACCAUGCUUCUUGUACAGCCUGCAGAACUGUGAGCCAAUUAAACCUCUUUCCUUUAUAAAUUACCCAGCCUCAUAUAUUUCUUUAUAGUGAUGCAAAAAUAGCCUAAGUCAACCUUCAAAAUAAAUCAGUGUCUAACUACUUCUCACUUCUUCUACUGCUACCACCUUUUCUAUCUCUAGGUGAGUUCCUGCAGAAGUGUAGAGCUUCAGGGAGAUAACUUUUCUAAAUAAAACAGGGC